This 75-nucleotide transfer RNA is filed under the name Magnetospirillum sp. RNAcentral's name for it is "tRNA-Val". It matches the Rfam family "tRNA". From Rfam's summary of the family: Transfer RNA (tRNA) molecules are approximately 80 nucleotides in length. RNAcentral also lists the same sequence under 2 other names. The record is from RNAcentral. Lineage: Bacteria; Pseudomonadati; Pseudomonadota; Alphaproteobacteria; Rhodospirillales; Rhodospirillaceae.
GGGCGGUUAGCUCAGCGGUAGAGCGCCUCGUUUACACCGAGAAUGUCGGGGGUUCGAUCCCCUCACCGCCCACCA